CGCCCGUCAAACUAUGGGAGCUAGUAAUAUCUGAAACCGUACUGUUAACCCUUCGGGGAGGCAUACGUCUAGGGUAGGAUUGGUGACUGGAGUUAAGUCGUAACAAGGUAUCCCUACGAGAACGUGGGGAUGGAUCACCUCCUUUCUUCCGAGUAAUUUAUUAAUUACACAUUGUGUACAAUAUUAAAAUCCAUUCGGUUUAUAUGCCACAAGACUAAAACCUAAUUUAUAUUUAGUCGCUGGGUGGUCGGAUUCUAUUUAGUUUUGAGAGAAUAUUCUCUCCUAUAAACUAAAUUUUUUAGUUUAUAGAUGAUCGCUCUUUGAAAACUGAAUACUAUCAAUAUCUUUCUAACUAUUAAGAUUAAUUUUUUAAUAGUAGACACACUGUGGACAUCCAUAGUGUGAACAAUCAUACAAUUCAAACAACCAAUAGGAUUUAUAAUAAGUUACUAAGAGCUUAUGGUGAAUGCCUUGGGACAAACAGGCGAUGAAGGACGUGUUAAUCUGCGAUAAGCGACGGUUAGCUGAUAAAAAGCGUUUACCCGUCGAUCUCCGAAUGAGGAAACUCAAUAUAUCUCGAUAUAUUAUUAUUAAGUAAAUACAUAGCUUAAUAAAGCGAUACCUGGUGAAGUGAAACAUCUCAGUAGCCAGAGGAAAAGAAAACGAAUGUGAUUCCCUGUGUAGCGGCGAGCGAAAGGGGAGUAGGCCAAACUGAAUUUCGAUUCAGGGUUGUAGGACUACAAGAUGGACUAAGAAAAGAUAGCAGAAUUGGUUGGGAAGCCAUACCAUAGAAGGUGAAAGUCCUGUACGCGAAAUCUUUUCUUUACCUAGUAGUAUCCUGAGUAGGGCGGGACACGUGAAAUCCUGUCUGAAUCCACCCAGACCAUUGGGUAAGCCUAAAUACUAGUUUGUCACCGAUAGCGCAUA
RNAcentral lists this small RNA (927 nucleotides) under Ureaplasma canigenitalium. RNAcentral's name for it is "bacterial LSU rRNA". The stretch from base 440 to 927 matches the Rfam family "Bacterial large subunit ribosomal RNA", at positions 1 to 496 of the family's 2925-position model. The record is from RNAcentral. Lineage: Bacteria; Bacillati; Mycoplasmatota; Mycoplasmoidales; Mycoplasmoidaceae.